GCCCCAGUAACGGCGAGUGAAGCGGCAACAGCUCAAAUUUGAAAUCUGGCCUCGGCCCGAGUUGUAAUUUGCAGAGGAUGCUUCGGGCGCGGUGCCUUCCGAGUUCCCUGGAACGGGACGCCAUAGAGGGUGAGAGCCCCGUAUGGUUGGACGCCUAGCCUGUGUGAAGCUCCUUCGACGAGUCGAGUAGUUUGGGAAUGCUGCUCAAAAUGGGAGGUAUAUCUCUUCUAAAGCUAAAUACCGGCCAGAGACCGAUAGCGCACAAGUAGAGUGAUCGAAAGAUGAAAAGCACCUUGAAAAGGGGGUUAAACAGCACGUGAAAUUGUUGAAAGGGAAGGGCCCAUGACCAGACUUGUGUCCGGCGGAUCACCCAGCGUUCUCGCUGGGGCACUCCGCCGGGUCCAGGCCAGCAUCGGUUCUCGCCGGGGGAUAAAGGCUCUGGGAACGUAGCUCCUCCGGGAGUGUUAUAGCCCUCUGCGUAAUACCCUGGCGGGGACCGAGGUACGCGCUCCGCAAGGAUGCUGGCGUAAUGGUCAUCAGCCACCCGUCUUGAAACACGGAUCAAGGAGUCGUCCAUUAGAGCGAGCGUUUGGGUGUCAAACCCGCACGCGUAAUGAAAGUGAACGUAGGUGAGAGCUUCGGCGCAUCAUCGACCGAUCCUGAUGUCCUCGGAUGGAUUUGAGUAUGAGUUUUACUGGACGGACCCGAAAGAUGGUGAACUAUGCCUGUAUAGGGUGAAGCCAGAGGAAACUCUGGUGGAGGCUCGCAGCGGUUCUGACGUGCAAAUCGAUCGUCAAAUAUGGGCAUGGGGGCGAAAGACUAAUCGAACCAUCUAGUAGC
This 840-nucleotide ribosomal RNA is filed under the name Phaeoacremonium alvesii. Its description in RNAcentral is "partial large subunit ribosomal RNA". It matches the Rfam family "Eukaryotic large subunit ribosomal RNA", at positions 77 to 951 of the family's 3401-position model. Lineage: Eukaryota; Fungi; Ascomycota; Sordariomycetes; Togniniales; Togniniaceae. The record is from RNAcentral.